Hordeum vulgare subsp. vulgare (domesticated barley) is the source of this 1338-nucleotide RNA transcript. It is a transcript of the gene named dehydration-responsive element-binding protein 1B-like, with no coding region annotated. The record is from RefSeq and is a predicted model, not a curated record. NCBI's taxonomy places the organism in Eukaryota, Viridiplantae, Streptophyta, Magnoliopsida, Poales, Poaceae. The transcript has a single exon.
AAGGUAACCAAGGGAUGCGCGCAGCGGAAACGAUAGUAAAACAAAGGGUGGCGCGCCAUGAAGCUGCCGUGUGUUCCGGCGCAAGUGUCACCGUGACUGUGACAUACACGUACUACCUCUCCGCCACUUGCCAUUUCCAGGAAGCCACCGCCUGCCUUUGCCUACUUAUGCUCCCCCGUCUCCUCAAACAAGCUCCACCGAUCUCGAUCGAAACCUCUCACCACAGCCGCUGAUUCUUCCAGUACAAAAACUACUCCACACCUCUCACGAGCAUGUCGAAUCCGAUUCAGACGGACGUCGCCGGCAUCGCCUCCCCGUCCGGCCAGCAGGAGCAGCAGGGGCACCGGACGGUGUCGUCGGAGCCGCCGAAGCGGCCCGCGGGGCGCACCAAGUUCCACGAGACGCGCCACCCUCUGUACCGCGGCGUGCGCCGCCGCGGCCGCGUCGGGCAGUGGGUGUGCGAGGUGCGCGUGCCCGGGAUCAAGGGCUCCAGGCUCUGGCUCGGCACCUUCAACACGGCCGAGAUGGCCGCCCGCGCGCACGACGCCGCCGCGCUCGCGCUCUCCGGCCGCGCCGCCUGCCUCAACUUCGCCGACUCCGCCUGGCGGAUGCUGCCCGUGCUCGCGGCCGGGUCGUUCGGCUUCGGCAGCGCGCGGGAGGUCAAGGCCGCCGUCGCCGUCGCCGUCGUGGCGUUCCAGCGGAGGCAGAUUAUUCCAGUCGCCGUCGCCGUCGUGGCGCUCCAGAAGCAGCAGGUUCCGGUCGCUGUCGCCGUCGUGACGCUCCAGCAGAAGCAGCAGCAGGUCCCGGUCGCCGUCGCCGUCUCGGCGCUCCAGCAGCAGCAGGUCCCGGUCGCCGUCGCCGUCGUGGCGCUCCAGCAGCUGCAGGUUCCGGUCGCCGUCGCCGUCGUGGCGCUCCAGGAGCAGCAGAUUAUUCUACCAGUCGCGUGCCUGGCGCCGGAGUUCUACAUGUCUUCAGGCGACCUGCUGGAGCUCGACGAGGAGCAGUGGUUCGGCGGAAUGGACGCCGGGUCGUACUACGCGAGCUUGGCGCAGGGGAUGCUCGUGGCGCCGCCGGACGAAAGAGCGAGGCCGGAGCACGGCGAGCAGACCGGCGUCCAGACGCCGCUAUGGAGCUGCUUGUUCAACUAAUUUAGCACUACUGUCAACAUGUAGAUAGUUGCGUUCUUCCAGAUUUGGGAGGAAAGAGAGUAGGCAGUUGGUACUACUUUUGGGGAAAAGGGGCUAGAUUGCUUAAUUCAACAAUUGGUACUGAACUCGAUUGUGUAUCGUGCACUCCAUGAAUCGAAAUCAAGGAUUUUUGGGAGAAGAAAAACAGACA